RNAcentral lists this long non-coding RNA (1679 nucleotides) under Homo sapiens (human). Its description in RNAcentral is "non-protein coding lnc-B4GALT7-1:2". The record is from RNAcentral. Lineage: Eukaryota; Metazoa; Chordata; Mammalia; Primates; Hominidae.
GUAAAGCUUCAGGUUCAGGUGUUUAGUCCAGGGUCUUUGUGAUCCUAAAUUGACCUUCCCCAUCGAUUCAGCCACACCCACUAUUGUGAUGGGCAGACAGGCCUCGACUCUAGUGCAGGGGUGGUGGAGAGGGGACUGUGCCAGUUCCCUGGACAAUCCCAGCUGCUUCAUCUUGGACUGACAUGGACACCAGGCAGUAACACCAGCUCUUGGGAGUUGGUGGGAACAGGUGUAAUAUCAAAGCUCCCAGCUCUGCACUCUCCUGUCACAUAGGAAGACCUCAGAAAAUGGAGGUUCCUUCCUUUCCACCUGCACUGGGGGAGUGCAAUGAGCAGAAGAAAAGCGAAGGUCCCUCCACCUUCUGAGAUCAGCUGACACCUGAGCUUAGGCCUCCCUACCUAAGAGCUGGGUCCUAAUUCACUGGUUCUGUACAUCAGGAAGGCAAAGCACAGACAGAGCACACCACCACCUGCAGCUGUCUCCUGCCUCCAGUGCAUCAGAGUCUGGAGCGCGUUGCUUCUCUGGAGGGAGAUAAAGACACAGUGGCUACCUGGGGAGAUAAAACAGCACCAGCAGGAAUCAGGGGUUCCAGAGAGGAGGGAACCUGGCCCUGGGCUAUGUGUGUAUCAGUUGUGAUAUGCAUAAUCAUCUUUGGUCUUAUUUUUUCCAAGUGACUGGAAAAGUUCAUUUCUAGCUUACUUACCUCUGUUCCUUCCUUAAACUCCUCUAGCCUGGCUUUUGUCUCUGCCAUUUCUACUAAAACCACUCUGCUCAAGGCUGUCAUCAGUGUCUCCACUGCCCAGCCCUGGACUGUCAGAGCCACUCCGGGACAUCUGCACCAGAUGCAUGAGUUUCCUGAUACAGCGAAAUCUCAGCAGGAGUUGACACCCACCUGCCUGGUGCUCUGGGAUGAAUUUCUGCACAGAUGCAACCUCUGUGGGUGGAAGCCAGGAUGAAGUAUAUGCAUCUGUGAAGACUGGCCUUCCAUCUGUUUUCUGAUGCAACCAAAAUGCUUCAGGGCUCGUCUUAUCUGGAGGUUUGAUGGCUACAGACGUGAGGGGCUUCCAGGUAGAGCUCAGACCUGAGACUUCUGGUCCCCUGUCUGGACAUCUGUAUGAAGACGGAGAAGCACCAGCCAACCUCUCCACAACCCUCACCAAGUUCUCAUGGAACAUCCUCUGAUGGUCCCUCUCGGUGCUGGGUUCUGGCAGGAGAAAGAGAAGUCAGGGAACAGAAGAGCUGCUCUGCCAAAGUCAUACCCUUCUUGGAGACACAGGGAACUCCAUCUCUCAUUCUCACUAGCAAUUUGCUGUGGCAACUCAAAUGUUUUUCCAGAUGGAACAUAAGCAGACGUGAUGUGUUUGCCUUCCAGGUCUAACCCAUGCAAAGCCUCCUGGGAACACACCUCACGCUAUUUUCUAUUCCAUCAGGUGGAUAUGGAUGAUGAUUAGGAACUAGGGUGAGGUGGAGCCAGAAAACACAAGGAGCCUGGAUCCCUGAAUGACCACAUGGACAUACACAUGCUGAAGACUGCCUUGUAAGCAGGAAAUAAACAUCUACUGUAUUGAACCUUUGCAUGUAGGGACUAUUUUUUAUAGCAGCAUAGCUUUACUCUGACUAAUACAAUCCUUGCACUCAAGAGUUUACGGUCGUUUUAAGGAGACAAGACUCAGUCACAC